Molecule: long non-coding RNA, 3424 nt
Organism: Sarcophilus harrisii (Tasmanian devil)
Lineage: Eukaryota; Metazoa; Chordata; Mammalia; Dasyuromorphia; Dasyuridae
Source: Ensembl
GGCGUCAGCGUGGGCUCCCCGGAGUAAGUCGCUAGGUAACCGAGCUCCGCAGACCGAGAAGUGGGGAAGCCCGAGCUGCUCGUCACCCUGAAGGCAGGAGGGGGCGCAGGAACCACCACUCUUCCGCGCCCUCCAUCUCCAACCAGGCACUCCAGGAUUGCCCCCAUCUCAGAUACGGGUGCACACACACACACACACACACACACACACACAAAGAAGCAUGCUCCCCAUCCCCACCUUCCUUCCGAUGCACUGACCUGUUCCAUUCCCCUACUCUUCUGGAGAGAAGGCAAGAGAGGACCUUCCACCUACUCUAUCCCCAUCCCAGGGAUCCCGACAUUGCAAACCACUCUCCCCAGCUGCUUGGCAGCCGCGGCUCUGCCAGUUCCCCCAACUUAGUUGGGCCCUCGGAAGCUGAGGUGGUCUCUCCUGCAUCUUUCGGUGCCUCUGCUGCUGCUGCUACCGCCGCCGCCGCCUUUGCCGCUACUGCUGUUGCUGUUGUUCUUGGCGUCGGUAAGAUGGUUCCCAAAUUCGUUUAAUGGAUGUGGGUUAUUGGCGCAACCCAGAGAAGCAACAAUACAAACUCGCUGCGUGGGAAAGUUUUCGGUGUUUUCUGAAGAUUGCCCGGUCAUCAGAAAAAUCUAGGAGCCCUCAUGGGUGAGGAUGGUUCUCCUAAGGUACUCUUCUUUGCCUUCUAAGGCCUCCCCGCCCACCCUUUCUCUAUCCACUUUAGGGUCUUAGUUAGUGCCUGGGCUUCAAUAAGGUCUUUCUCUUUUGCUUCUCCAAAGUCUGUGUGAUGACCCCAGAAGCUGGGCAUGAAGAUCCCCUGGGAACAGCAGGGAAAUGGUAGUGCUUACCUGAGAUUUCACUGGAGGAAAAACCUGUCCAGGAGAAGAAAAUGAAAUGAACUCUGGGGAUCUGGCACCCAGUGGCUGUCUGAAACCUACAGAAAACUUGUCCCUUUGUCCAGGAGAAUGGUGCUGAAGCUGCCUGCCCAAUUCACAGGAUACCUGGAUGCCAUGCUCAGCCCAAUGUCUGCAGAAUGCUCCCUGCCCCUCUCCUCUUCCUGAUGCACUGCAUGAUUAACCUAAGGAGGAGGAUAAAGAACUUGGCCACCAAGAUGGUAAUCACUAGUGGUAAUGAAGAAGACAGAGGCAGCCAAGAAAAGGAAAACAAAGAAGAAAGUAUCCUGGCAAUGCUAGGAAUUAUUGGGACCAUCCUAAACCUCAUUGUCAUCAUCUUUGUGUAUAUUUACACAACUUUGUGAAGGACAGAACAGAGAGGGAUCUUUCUGCUGAGACACUGCAGACUUCUGCAGGGAAAAGAAAUUGGUUCUGAAGUGAAGCCCAAACAUCAUAGCUGUCCACAUCCUGCAAGAUCAAAUGACCCUUUGAAGUCUUCAAACAGAUCAUCAACAGAACACACCAAUCUGCAGAUAGCAGACACAAAAGCACAAUGGAUUAAUGGGUGUAAGGAAUCACCAAAGCAGAAGCCUGAUGGGAUUUAUGAGGUCAAGCAGAACAGUGCAUUAACACAUCUAACAUAGGACUAUGUGAACACAGAUUGUGUCCUCUCAAAAAUCAACACUGUCUUCACCACUGGUCAAACUUUUUGAGCUUCUUUGUCCCAUAACUGAAGAAUUCAUAUAGUGGGAGUGAUUUUAGACCAAUUAUUUAUCAACAAUCCCAUUAAUACCACGAGUCUUAGGUUUGUUACUGAGAGGAUCGGGGGAGGGGGGGAGAAUAUUUUUUCUUUUUUUUUCUUUGGUCUGACAUAUAUAUCAGUUCAUGGUGGUAUUUACAAAUUUCUAUUUUUAAUAAAUGUGUUAUUUUUAUUAGCAUGGACCAAACAUCUAGAGAGAUCCCCUUGGAUGUCCAAAGUUUGAUUUGGUUUUCUGAAAUGAUCCCUUGAUGAUAUGUCCUUUCCUAUAGAAGUUAUGACUCUAUUUAUUGCCUCUUUAAUCUCUUUUACUUCUUUUGUUCCAAACCAUUUUAAAACAGUAUCAACCUCAGCCUUGAUUAGUGCAUGACUUCAGAUGAAGCAGUCUAUGGUGAGGCUUUUUAUGGAACUGUAAGAAAUAUAAAAAUAUUAUGGGCAUGCAGACCUGAGAUGCAUGCUAUUUUGACUGAAGAUUAUGCAUGAACAAGGUCUGUGUGAUGGGUCAAUCAGAAACAAACACUGAAGACUGCUGGAAGAAACAUGACUGUUUAAAGAUCCAAUCUUUAAUUGAUUUUUUUAAAGAAAGUACUCAUAUAACAUCUAAUUCUUAAUAGAGUUAUUUAUAAUUCCAUCAUCACAAUAACCAAUUUAUCAUAUCAUGAUUUAAAUUACAGAUACAUUGAGAUAAGUCAGUCAGAUAUAUCAGGACAUUGCAAGAAGAAUGGUAAAAAAGGAAAUAGGUUAAUUUUAAAAUAGAGAUAGUCAGCCAAAUCCUGCCAAUAAUCUCCCUAAGAGGUCUCUAAGCACCAUGGGGCAUAUAUUAACUCACUCAGGGGACCAUUUACAUAAAUGACUUCUCCAUUGCAUUAAAUGGUACCCACUAAUGCCCUGACAUAUAUUUGUAAAUUGCCUGAUUUCACAUCCCAGAAGUUUGUUCUCUGACAAAAUUUGGAUAUAUUGACAUUAAUUGCCCAAUCUCUCCUAGAAUACAUAAGAAUAUUCCAUAAGAAUGGCACUUCACUCUCACUUAAGACUGGCCUUCCAUAUAAGUGAAAUUAACAAUUAUUUACAUAGUAAAAUUUUUAGGGAGGAAAGACCUGCCCAAAAAUUAUUCAUCUAACAAAUGAAACACACCUACUAUUCUACCAUUGGAGAUAGUUUUUCUUUUGGAUUCUUACCCUAAUCUGGAUUUUUUUAAAAUACAAAUAUUCUUGGAAUUUUGACACAUAGAAGAGAUUGAACUAAAUAAUCUCUCACUCUAAGAUUCUGUAAUUCAGUCUUCAACUAAUUCAUUCUAAGGUAUAAAUGUCUUUUCUCCUAACAAAUCCUGGGUGAUGUAAAACAAACAAAACAAAACAAAACAACAAUAACAAAAAAAAGAAAUCCAACAUCUGGUACCUAGAACAAGAAAAGGUCCAGAAAGGGGAUAUGACAGGCUUAAAAGACAAGUUUCACCUACUUCGCAAUUUUACCAAGGGCUGACUCUUCUCACUCCAAACCAACCCAAACCCAGGGAACAAUAUGAAUAUUGAAUAGCAUGAAAAUCAGCAGCAGUAUUCAUAAAGACUGAUUAGGAAUAGGAUUGAAAGAGCAAAGGAGGGUCAUGUGAUAUGAUUAUGGAAAGUGUGUAAAAAUGCUAAUGGCAAACUACAGUAAAAAUAAAUAAAUAAAUAAAGGUGCAAUGGGAAAAAAAUAACUAUGCAUAUCAUUAUUUUUUUUUCCAACACAAGUCUCAUGUGAUAUUUUGAAGCCAGAUCAGCAACAU